Molecule: ribosomal RNA, 253 nt
Filed under: uncultured bacterium
Lineage: Bacteria
Description: partial 16S ribosomal RNA
Rfam family: Bacterial small subunit ribosomal RNA
Source: RNAcentral
UACGGAGGGGGCGAGCGUUGUUCGGAAUCACUGGGUGUAAAGGGUGCGUAGGCGGUCUCUCAAGUCUGAUGUGAAAUCCCUGGGCUCAACUCAGGAACUGCAUUGGAAACUGAAAGGCUGGAGUACCGGAGAGGGAAGCGGAAUUCCUGGUGUAGCGGUGAAAUGCGUAGAUAUCUGGAGGAAUACCGGUGGCGAAGGCGGCAUCCUGGACCAUAACUGACGCUGAGGCGCGAAAGCUAGGGGAGCAAACGGG